Ceratotherium simum simum (southern white rhinoceros) is the source of this 101-nucleotide non-coding RNA. Lineage: Eukaryota; Metazoa; Chordata; Mammalia; Perissodactyla; Rhinocerotidae. The record is from RefSeq and is a predicted model, not a curated record.
AGAACUUCUUGAUACUGAGUUAUGAAGAGCUGAAACGGGACACAAGAAGCACUGUAGAGAAGAUCUGCCAAUUCCUGGGCAAGAAAUUAGAACCAGAAGAA